AGUGAACGCUGGCGGUAGGCCUAACACAUGCAAGUCGAACGGCAGCACAGUAAGAGCUUGCUCUUACGGGUGGCGAGUGGCGGACGGGAGAGGAAUACAACGGAAUCUACUUUUUCGUGGGGGAUAACGUAGGGAAACUUACGCUAAUACCGCAUACGAGCUACGGGGGAAAGCAGGGGAAGUUCGGACCGUGCGGGAUUGAAUGAGCCGAUGUCGGAUUAGCUUGUUGGGGGGGUAAAGGCCCACCAAGGCGAGGAACCGUAGCUGGUCGGAGGGGAGGGUCGCCGGCCCUGGAACUUGACCACCGUCCAUGCUCCUACGGGAGGCAGCAGUGGGGAAUAUUGGACAAUGGGCGCAAGCCUGAUCCAGCCAUACCGCGUCGGUGAAGAAGGCCUUCCGGUUGUGAAGCCCUUUUGUUGGGAAAGAAAAGCAGCAGGUUAAUACCCCGCUGUUCUGACGGUACCCAAAGAAUAAGCACCGGCUAACUUCGUG
Molecule: ribosomal RNA, 492 nt
Filed under: uncultured bacterium
Lineage: Bacteria
Description: partial 16S ribosomal RNA
Rfam family: Bacterial small subunit ribosomal RNA
Source: RNAcentral